AUACGUAGGGGGCAAGCGUUAUCCGGAAUCAUUGGGCGUAAAGAGUGCGUAGGUGGUUUCUUAAGCGUGGGGUUUAAGGCUACGGCUUAACCGUAGUUCGCCCCAUGAACUGGGAGACUUGAGUGCAGGAGGGGAAAGUGGAAUUCCUAGUGUAGCGGUGAAAUGCGUAGAUAUUAGGAGGAACACCAGUGGCGAAGGCGACUUUCUGGACUGUAACUGACACUGAGGCACGAAAGCGUGGGGAGCAAACAGGAUUAGAUCCCCUGGUAGUCCACGCCGUAAACGAUGAGCACUAGGUGUCGGGGAGACAAUCCUCGGUGCCGCAGUUAACGCAUUAAGUGCUCCGCCUGGGGAGUACGUUCGCAAGAAUAAAACUCAAAUGAAUUGACGGGG
RNAcentral lists this ribosomal RNA (393 nucleotides) under uncultured bacterium. Its description in RNAcentral is "partial 16S ribosomal RNA". It matches the Rfam family "Bacterial small subunit ribosomal RNA", at positions 523 to 918 of the family's 1533-position model. The record is from RNAcentral.